UCACUCUUUCAACCUCAUCUCAGGUACUCUCUCUCUUUCUCUCUAUACUGUUUUUUUGCGUUUGGAUUUUGGAUUCCUCACUUUCUCCGCUCAUCUCAAAACCUGCAUCUAACUAUCUCGAUCUUCUCCAUCUUUUUUCAUCUGCUUCCACUUUUACUACCAUUCGUUCAUUUUUUGCUUCAUAAUGUUACAUUACUACUUUUCGAGCUAAAAUCCAAUUUCAUUUUGCGACUCUUGUUAGAUUCGCUGUUUUUCUUUCUCUCUGACUUUUUAUCGAACACUUUACGGACUAAAACGGUCUAG
Vicia faba (fava bean) is the source of this 303-nucleotide non-coding RNA. The record is from the annotation of a GenBank genome assembly. Lineage: Eukaryota; Viridiplantae; Streptophyta; Magnoliopsida; Fabales; Fabaceae.